AAAAGCGUUUUUCAUGGUCGCGAUCACAGUUCCAGCACCUUGUUAUGCUGAAAACAAGAACUACUCUGAAAAUUAAUAACACGCUGCAAGGAAGGCUACUACAUUUGUUCUAGUACUUUUCCCUCCUUCCAUCCUUUGGUUGUUUGAAUAUAUUUCUUGCAAUCCCAGAAUCCCCUGAGCCCGCGAUUUUCGUUGCAACUAACCACUGACAGGGGCUGUCUGGGGAUGGGUUUGUAUUGGAUGUUCAAAGAGCUCGCGCUUUUACAGCUGGCAUAAUUGACAUGACUAUCAAAUGGAUUCUAUUGUCGAUAAUAUUGGCCUUGCGCUUAUUUAUAGAUUUUUCAACGGCGGCAUAGCAUUAGUAUUUGGCUUCUCUAUAGAAGGAAACUCACUUGAAAAAGGAUCAGGAAAGGCGAACAAAGCUUAAUGUGCUUAUCAGCUUCCCUGCAAACUGUCUCAAAUAUCGAUUUCAAUUCAAUCGCCACGGGCAAUUGAGAUAGUUCUAUGGCAGUGCGCCAAGGUUUUACAACAGGAGACACCAACAAGAAAACCAACAAACAAAACAACAAACAACGUUAAAUAAUAAACACACACAAAGCGUCAGUUGAACUGUGGAUAUGCACAGACUUUCGUAGAUAAGUGUUUAAAAGUGUUAAAAAUAACAUAAAAAAGUGUUUAUAUUCAAUAAUAUAUAAGAGAUACGUAUUGACUGGGCUCGGCUUUGCAGGCUGUGGGGACAAACACUUAGAGCUUAAUGCUAAGAACCGAGCCUGUGCUUUUACCCUCGGUAACUAGUGUUACUAAGGAAGUUACUAGUUUCCAGGGGUAGCCAGGGGGGUGGCCUAGGCCCCCCCUUUUAGCAGCCAAAAAUAAAGUAAAUGUAUGAGAAAUUAUCUAAAAUACAGGAGAAAAUGCCUUGAAAGUCCCUUCUGGGCCCCCUCCUAUUAUAAGUCCUGGCUACGCCGCUGUGUACCAUGGUAAAUAGCACUUGCCUGCUUGCGCACGCCUCUUUUCUUUGUACUUCGCUGGGCUGGCGUCCGUACUAGUGACUACAUACGUGUGCUACUUACUAUUAGUAUACAGUACAGAAACUAGUAACCGCUCUUUGCGCCCUCUAGAAAUUGUAUCAUUUUAAAUACGUAUAAAAAGGAGAAGAAAAGAUAUGUACGUAUAAAAAGGAGAAGAAAAUAAACUAUUUUCAUUGAAUAA
Nematostella vectensis (starlet sea anemone) is the source of this 1209-nucleotide long non-coding RNA. RefSeq lists it as uncharacterized. The transcript has 2 exons. The record is from RefSeq and is a predicted model, not a curated record. NCBI's taxonomy places the organism in Eukaryota, Metazoa, Cnidaria, Anthozoa, Actiniaria, Edwardsiidae.